This 253-nucleotide ribosomal RNA is filed under the name uncultured bacterium. RNAcentral describes it as "partial 16S ribosomal RNA". It matches the Rfam family "Bacterial small subunit ribosomal RNA", at positions 524 to 776 of the family's 1533-position model. The record is from RNAcentral.
UACGAAGGUCCCAAGCGUUAUCCGGAUUUAUUGGGUUUAAAGGGUGCGUAGGCGGGUUAUUAAGUCAGUGGUGAAAGCUCCAUGCCUAACAUGGAAAUUGCCAUUGAUACUGAUGAUCUUGAGUACAUUUGAAGUGGGCGGAAUGUGUCAUGUAGUGGUGAAAUACUUAGAUAUGACACAGAACACCGAUUGCGUAGGCAGCUCACUAAACUGUAACUGACACUGAGGCUCGAAAGUGCGGGGAUCAAACAGG